UGCAUCCUACGGGACGCAGCAGUGGGGGAUAUUGCACAAUGGGGGGAACCCUGAUGCAGCGACGCCGCGUGGGUGAAGAAGCGCCUCGGCGCGUAAAGCCCUGUCAGCAGGGAAGAAAAUGACGGUACCUGAAGAAGAAGCCCCGGCUAACUACGUGCCAGCAGCCGCGGUAAUACUUAGGGGGCAAGCGUUAUCCGGAUUUACUGGGUGUAAGGGGGGCGCAGACGGCGAUGCAAGCCAGGAGUGAAAGCCCGGGGCCCAACCCCGGGACUGCUCUUGGAACUGCGUGGCUGGAGGGCAGGAGG
RNAcentral lists this ribosomal RNA (305 nucleotides) under uncultured bacterium. RNAcentral's name for it is "bacterial SSU rRNA". It matches the Rfam family "Bacterial small subunit ribosomal RNA", at positions 333 to 655 of the family's 1533-position model. The record is from RNAcentral.